UGUCCAGUAGCACCUUAGAGAACAACUAAGUUUGUUCUGGGUAUAAGCUUUCCUUUGCAUGCACACUUCUUCAGAAACACACGAUAUGCAUGCACACAAAAGAAACUUAGUUGGUCUCUAAGGUGCUACUGGACA
Molecule: non-coding RNA, 135 nt
Organism: Podarcis lilfordi (Lilford's wall lizard)
Lineage: Eukaryota; Metazoa; Chordata; Lepidosauria; Squamata; Lacertidae
Source: the annotation of a GenBank genome assembly